Molecule: long non-coding RNA, 2478 nt
Organism: Populus trichocarpa (black cottonwood)
Lineage: Eukaryota; Viridiplantae; Streptophyta; Magnoliopsida; Malpighiales; Salicaceae
Exons: 2
Source: RefSeq, a predicted model, not a curated record
CGGACAGUCCAUGACUCCCUGAUUUUCUGGGCUCUUUCUUCCUAAAUAAUUUAAAAUCAUAGCUGGCAAGUGAAUUGACUUCCUUGCUCCUGUCUAUAGUCCAUGACUCACUGGGCCGCCGCAGCCUAGCAACCCACACUCACUUAAGAACUCGGUCUAUCUCAACCUUGUUAGAAGCCACAUCUUCAGUAAGGGCUUUAUUAUAAACCUCAUCACCCAGGAAUUUGAUAAUUCCAACAUGCAGCAUUGGUUGAAAUUUGAAAUUACAUCUAUCUCUUGGGAAUCUUAUUUUUCCUUGUAACACUGUCUUAAUUAUGCUUGCAUUUUGUUCAUUAUUUCACUUGGAGCAGGGGAAUGGCAGCUGACUGAAUUUUUGCUUUUUGCAUGCAUGCGUGUCCGUACAUUUAAGCAUAAACUUGUGAGUGCUCGGGUGUAUGUGUGUGUGCUCUUGCUUUGCAUGCAGGUGGAUGGAUGGAUGGGUAGUAGCGUUUAUUUAUGCUAUGAUUUAUUUACAGAAAGUCAAUGGUAGCUGUAAUUAUAUCAUUAAGGGAUUAAUGGAUUACAUUGUAUUCCUAUACUAAUCUGUUUUUCAUCAUACAUAGAAGCUUCAUAUAAUUAUGAAAUAUAACAUAUGAAACAUGAAUUUGGAGAUAACUGGAGCAGAAUAUCAUGGAUUUUGGUUCUGAGGGUUAUUAGGUGGGGAUGGAGGGAUGUAUGGUAUCCAAGUUCUGGGAUCUCUUAGAUUAAAUUCAGGUGGUGGUGGAGGUGCUAAUGAAGGGGUAUUCGGUAUCCAUGUCCUUGGAUUUCCUAGAUUAAAUGCUGGUGGAGGCGUUGGAUGGAAAAGAGAUGGGGUUGGUGAGAGGGGUGGAAAUGGAAAGGGCAAAGAAGGUGGGCGAGGAGAUGGCAAGGGAGGAAAAGGCUGAGAUGGCGUAGGUAAUGGAGGGAAGGGUGAUGGUGACAUGUUAGGCAAGGUAUGCCAUGGGAACCCAUAGGGUGGGGAGUAAGGGAGAAAAAACUUUGAAGAGUUGAAAGAAAUCUGCAACUCUUCUUUGUGUUUCCCACACAAGGUAGCAUUUUUUUUGGAAGGUCUGUAACUCAAAGCAUUCAUGCUGUAAAUACAGAGAUUGUUCUGCUUUGACUUGACUGAUAUCACGUCUGUUGACAUCUUUAAACCAGGAACGUUGCAGGCUGGAUAUGAGCUCCGUAUUAAACUUGCCUGGCAUACUAAUUCAAUUGUCGAUCCCACCGCACAAUCAACACCAUCAACCUCUGGCACUGUCACUUUAUAUAUUCCAUAUCUAUCUGUUGUUCUGUUAGCAGAGAACUGAAUCUUCUCUGUAGUUUUUGGUGAGAUUGCUUGGAAUGUACAUUGAAUGUGAACAUCCGCACCUAAUCAGUCCAAUAUGAUUGGCAAUGAAAAGAUUUCAGAAAUUUUCUCAGCGUGAAAUUGAAGGGUUUGUUUUAUUAAGAGUUAUUAAAUUACCUGGCAAGAAGCAGCUGUAUCUGGAGAAAGUGUUGGUUGAGCAGGUAUCACAGUAGACAACACCAACAAUAAUGAUUCGGGAGGUUGGAUUGUUUGCUGGUUCAGCAAUGAGAGAAAGUGGGAGAGCAAACAAAGUUGCUAGAAGAGCAUGAAUAAUGAUUGGAGCCAUGGGAGAAGCGGGAAGAAGCUUCCACUAAAAGCAUCUCUAGUUAGUACUCCUCUAUGAAGAGCAUAUAAUGUAGAAUUAUUCUAUAGAUCUAGAAAAAUAUACUAUGUCUGCAUGUAAUGAGCCCGUGAGUAGAUUGGUGUUAGGACCAACUGUAAUAGGAUAGCUAAAAUGCUUUAUCUAUUCACUACAAACAAAGACAUGUGAAGAGCUCUUUUGGCAGAUUAUGUAGAAAAAAGAUUUACUCCAUGUUACAACUCUGUAGCAGAUUGGCAGGUUGUGGACACUGAUUUGGUGGCUCUAUUAUUUCUCAGAUCGGAACAGAUCACUAUCAGGUAGUCCAAGGCAUAAAAGGGCAGCGCCGAAGGGAGUCCUAAAUUUUUUAUGUUUUGCAUGAAGUAUGUGGCUUUGCUCUCUGACCCAUUAUUGUUUUUUCUUUCACUUCGCGUUUGUGUCUGCGUUUUCAGCAAAUUUUUGACUAAUAGAUGACACUCACCAUGCAAUUUCUUCGUUCGUCAUGCACUAUUCAAUGACCAAACUGUUUGUUUUUACAUGCAAUAGUCAAAACCCAGCUUGAGUUGCUCUCUUCAACUAGCAAAUGUUUUGCAUGAAUGCGUCUGAUAACAAAUGAGAAAGUGUGCUCUUUGGACCCAAGAAGAGUUUAGACCAGGAUGAAAAAUUCUUAUAUCCAGAUCGACUGGCUGCUAGUGCUUCGUCUGGACCCCAAGAUUCUUUGCAAUCUUCAAGUUUGCGGCCAAGGUUUCCCAUGGUGAAAGUUACUUUGUAUUUAUUAUCAUUACUCCCAUCUAUGAAAUGAAUUGUUAAAUUA